UUCCAGACUCCUACGGGAGGCAGCAGUGGGGGAUAUUGCACAAUGGGGGGAACCCUGAUGCAGCGACGCCGCGUGGGUGAAGAAGCGCCUCGGCGCGUAAAGCCCUGUCAGCAGGGAAGAAAAUGACGGUACCCGACGAAGAAGCACCGGCUAAAUACGUGCCAGCAGCCGCGGUAAUACGUAUGGUGCGAGCGUUGUCCGGAUUUACUGGGCGUGAAGGGGGCGCAGGCGGCGCGCCAAGCCCGAUGUGAAAGCCCGGGGCUCAACCCCGGGACUGCAUUGGGAACUGGCGUGCUGGAGUGCCGGAGGGGCAGGCGGAAUUCCUGGUGUAGCGGUGAAAUGCGUAGAUAUCAGGAGGAACACCGGUGGCGAAGGCGGCCUGCUGGACGACAACUGACGGUGAGGCGCGAAAGCGUGGGGAGCAAACAGGAUUAGAUACCCUAGUA
RNAcentral lists this ribosomal RNA (446 nucleotides) under uncultured bacterium. RNAcentral describes it as "bacterial SSU rRNA". It matches the Rfam family "Bacterial small subunit ribosomal RNA", at positions 329 to 792 of the family's 1533-position model. The record is from RNAcentral.